This 601-nucleotide long non-coding RNA is filed under the name Vigna radiata. Its description in RNAcentral is "long non-coding RNA (VRAD_LNC004534)". Lineage: Eukaryota; Viridiplantae; Streptophyta; Magnoliopsida; Fabales; Fabaceae. The record is from RNAcentral.
AUAUAUUGUUUCGGAUAGGAACGAGAUAACAGUUGAUCACUGUGGUUCUUCUCUUCACUUCAGAAUUCUCUUCGUAGCAACCUUAAAACCGAAUAGUGGGUACCUGCAGGUUAGCACUCCAACGCUCAAGUCAGCAAAGUUACUAUGAUAAUGAUAUUCAGAAAGUCAAUNCCCCCUUUACCUGAGCUAUGUUUGUUCUAUUUAUAGAGAAAUAUACCCACCAUACUAGGAGCCACGUUGGGCCAAGUCGUGUGCUCCGUGAUUUCCUCCAACGACUCAGCUUCUUAGUUGUAACCGCAGCCGUAACCGCUUCCCACUUCCUAGAUUCUUGCUCCGCCAUUUGCUCCGCUAAAUCCGCGAACUAUCUCCACUAACUUAGCAAUCAUUAUAGUUCCCUUUCGGUGUAACCCUUACCCUGAUCUUCCCUGCAUAUUUCCCGAUCCACCAGGCCUCUCUAACCUUUCUCCUGCCACAUUAUACAAGUCAAUCAGUUAUCCCAUAUGACCGUGUCUUUCCCUAUCGGUAUAAGUUCCCUCCCGAUCUUCUUCUUCGUAACCCCGAUCGACUUGAAUCCUCUCUAUACUACAUAAGCCCCCCAAGC